This 1185-nucleotide long non-coding RNA is filed under the name Brassica rapa (field mustard). RNAcentral's name for it is "long non-coding RNA (BRAP_LNC003482)". Lineage: Eukaryota; Viridiplantae; Streptophyta; Magnoliopsida; Brassicales; Brassicaceae. The record is from RNAcentral.
GGUAAGGGAAGGCUUUUAUUCAAGUGAUUCAAGAGGUUCAAAACAUAUGAUCUUUAAGGUGGUUUACUCUCAAAACAAGUAGCCUUGACAUUGCACAUAAUAUAUCUAAGAAAGGGACCAACUCAUGCAUACAAUGCUCAAUCUCCAUUGUUCUACCCUUUUCCCAAACAUACAAUUACACAAUCAUUCCCAAAUGUCAAACCCAACUCACAUCUCUCACCAAAAGAUCCUAAGAACUUUAACUCCUUCUCUUUGAAAUCUACAAGGGAUUUUUCACAACCUCAAAACAUUUCUUAGCUCCUAACAACUUUGCUAGCCCCCUUUUUCUUUUCUUUUUCUUUUUUUUUUCUUUUCUCUUUUUUUUUUUUUCGUUUUUCUUUUUCCCCUUUUUUUUUUUUAGGCUGGGGGCCAAGACUUUUCAAAACUUGAGCUAGAGGCUUCUAUACUGGUCCCAAUAAAACAAUUCACUUAAGCACAAAGAGUCUAUUCUUUUCCUUUUUCAUUUCUCCCAAAUCAUAAUCACAACACUCACCCCCACCUAUAGCUAGACAAUAGAGUGUCCAAUCUAGCAAGAAUGAAGAUCAAGCAUUGUCGUUCCCGAUACUCUCAACAUUAUGCACAUGUAAGACUUUCCGAAAAAGGCCUCACUCAUCAAACAAUGAAAGCUUAAAAGGAGGAAAAGGUUUUGGGAGUGGUCUACCACUAGAGUUUGUCAAAAAAGAUUGGUAUAAAAGAUGUGACAACUCAAGUGUGUAUAGCCAUGACUCAGUACACAAGGGACCAUGAGCAAGAAGCAUUAAGUUCGUUCAGUUCAAAUAAGGUUGUAGUUGGCUUCAAAGACUGAGUUUCAGCAAUCAACAAGUUUCAGGAAGAGUUUUCAAGGCUCGAAACAUACAAGUCUUUUUGAGAGGUGCAAAAGCUAGUCAAGUGCAACGUAGUGUUCUUUACAAGGCAUUCAAAAUCAUUGCUCCCAAUGCAAGUGAAUGCAACCUAUAUGCUCUAGACUCUCCUAAAAAUGCAAAUGAUGCAAACUAAAUGAUUGAUUUUUUUUUUUUUUUUUAUCUAUGCAAAUAGGUAUGCCAUGCAUGACUCAAUGAAACAACAUCAAAGCAAACAUGAUCAAAUACUUGGUACCUCCCCCAAACUUGAGUUACACAGUCUCUGUGUCGUCAAGUAGAGAGAGAU